UUGACCUCGGAUCAGGUAGGAAUACCCGCUGAACUUAAGCAUAUCAAUAAGCAGA
Molecule: ribosomal RNA, 55 nt
Filed under: Xylaria sp. R26
Lineage: Eukaryota; Fungi; Ascomycota; Sordariomycetes; Xylariales; Xylariaceae
Description: partial 28S ribosomal RNA
Source: RNAcentral